CAGUAGCCGCGGUAAUACAGAGGGUGCAAGCGUUAAUCGGAAUUACUGGGCGUAAAGCGCGCGUAGGUGGUUCGCCAAGUUGGAUGUGAAAUCCCCGGGCUCAACCUGGGAACUGCAUCCAAAACUGGCGAGCUAGAGUAUGGUAGAGGGUGGUGGAAUUUCCUGUGUAGCGGUGAAAUGCGUAGAUAUAGGAAGGAACACCAGUGGCGAAGGCGACCACCUGGACUGAUACUGACACUGAGGUGCGAAAGCGUGGGGAGCAAACAGGAUUAGAUACCCCCGUAGUCCCUGUCUCUUAUAC
This 301-nucleotide ribosomal RNA is filed under the name uncultured bacterium. RNAcentral describes it as "partial 16S ribosomal RNA". It matches the Rfam family "Bacterial small subunit ribosomal RNA", at positions 509 to 807 of the family's 1533-position model. The record is from RNAcentral.